CCUACGGGAGGCAGCAGUCGAGAAUCAUUCACAAUGGGGGAAACCCUGAUGGUGCGACGCCGCGUGGGGGAAUGAAGGUCUUCGGAUUGUAAACCCCUGUCAUGUGGGAGCAAAUUAAAAAGAUAGUACCACAAGAGGAAGAGACGGCUAACUCUGUGCCAGCAGCCGCGGUAAUACAGAGGUCUCAAGCGUUGUUCGGAAUCACUGGGCGUAAAGGGUGCGUAGGCUGUUUCGUAAGUCGUGUGUGAAAGGCGCGGGCUCAACCCGCGGACGGCACAUGAGACUGCGAGACUAGAGUAAUGGAGGGGGAACCGGAAUUCUCGGUGUAGCAGUGAAAUGCGUAGAUAUCGAGAGGAACACUCGUGGCGAAGGCGGGUUCCUGGACAUUAACUGACGCUGAGGCACGAAGGCCAGGGGAGCGAAAGGGAUUAGAUACCCCAGUAGUC
Molecule: ribosomal RNA, 446 nt
Filed under: uncultured bacterium
Lineage: Bacteria
Description: partial 16S ribosomal RNA
Rfam family: Bacterial small subunit ribosomal RNA
Source: RNAcentral